Molecule: ribosomal RNA, 112 nt
Filed under: Caerostris darwini
Lineage: Eukaryota; Metazoa; Arthropoda; Arachnida; Araneae; Araneidae
Source: RNAcentral
AACGGCCGUACCAUGCUGAAUAUACCGGUUCUCGUUAGAUCACCGAAGUUAAGCAUCAUUGGGCGCGGUCAGUACUUGGGUGGGUGACCCCCUGGGAACACUGCGUGCCGUU